This 162-nucleotide non-coding RNA is filed under the name uncultured Lachnoclostridium sp. RNAcentral describes it as "Lysine riboswitch". It matches the Rfam family "Lysine riboswitch aptamer". Rfam says of the family: Riboswitches are metabolite binding domains within certain messenger RNAs that serve as precision sensors for their corresponding targets. Allosteric rearrangement of mRNA structure is mediated by ligand binding, and this results in modulation of gene expression. The record is from RNAcentral. Lineage: Bacteria; Bacillati; Bacillota; Clostridia; Lachnospirales; Lachnospiraceae.
GAUAGAGGCGCGGUGUUUAUCAGUACCGCGCGGCCACAGUCCCGGGAGGACUGCCGCGCAGGGAAAGGGAACGCUGCCGAAGGGGACGGGCUGCCCGGAGCGGGUUCCCUGGGCCGUACGGAGAAGAUCCUGCGGACUGUCACAACUGUGGAGCGCUAUCAU